Molecule: long non-coding RNA, 2681 nt
Organism: Schistocerca gregaria
Lineage: Eukaryota; Metazoa; Arthropoda; Insecta; Orthoptera; Acrididae
Exons: 4
Source: RefSeq, a predicted model, not a curated record
CUUGUACAAGUUAUCAAAAUACAGUGUUUUUUCACUCAUCUACAAUAAUACAACUGUGCAUAGAAAAUACAUUGCGCGCAUAUAAAUCGAAUAGCUAUUGUCAUCUAAAUCCAUACAUAUAACUCAAAUGAUACAUACUAUACAUCUACCAUAUGAGCUCCUUGAAUUCAUGCGUUACCAAUCAAUUUGAAGAAUAGCAAACCUGCUUUGAUUUUACCGUAAAAAAACAUCGUAUCUCAGACCGAUCUUCUCAACCCGUAAAUGCCGUUCCAUUUUUUCUGACUUAAUUCCUAAAUCUUCGGAACUUUAAAUUCCCAGUCUAUGUACCACUUUGUAGCAGUCCUCUAAAAAAACAAGUAGCCCAAGAAUCUAUCCUCUUCGUCGCCACCCGUACACUGUUUCGUUCCCUUCUCCCUCACACGUAUAUAUAUAUAUGACUGCCUCAAGCUCGAAGCAGCAUCGACCCCUAUUUGCAAGCCAUGCAUCUAAUACUCAGGGAGGAUCUACUAAUCCAUACAUGGUCUAUCAACCUACAAAAAAUGCAUUGGGAAAACUGAAACCUUCAUUUAUCAGCAUGAACCAGUAUUUGAAAAAGAAAAGAGUUCAAAAAAUCCGCAAUCGAUAUCGCCAGCUGUUACUAGAUGAGAAGGCUCCCGACUAUUCCACUCCCUCUGUAUCGAGCCUCACUCCUGAAGUUCCAAAUGUGCGGUUCGGAAAGGAAUCUAUAACCGACGAUAUUUAUAAUAGCACUUUGAGUCAAAUUUCUCAUAAAAAAAAAAACAAAAAGAGAAGCGUAGAAAAGGUAAUUUAGAAACAGCCGAUGUAUCCCAAUAUAACUGCGUGAUCCAGGAAACAGAAAAUAUAAAUGAAAACUCACCUGACGAUCCUCUUUCUCAAAAAAAAUAUUUUGAACAAACUGACAGGCAUCAUAUAGAGCGGGCCCAAUCAUCUGUCGAUCAUCCUCAUACGGAAUCUAAACCCCUUUCAAUCGAUCCUGUGCCAAAAGACCCUUUCUUUAAAGCAAAAAAAACAGUUUGAAGCCAAAAAGUUAAUCCUUGAAAAAAAAAAAUUAGAGCGCGAGGCCAAAGAAAUGGAAUUUAUUAAAAAAAGCAAAGAGCGUAGAAAAAUAUCUAGACGUCUCCGGCGCUAUACCGAUAAAGGCCAGCCGGUUUUGAAACAUCACAUCUAUCACCUGCUUGGUCGAAUCGAAAACAUGGUUGCAGAAAACAAAAUAUAGAAACAAUAGGAUUUAAUAAUUUGAUGCUUCCUCAGGCAACUCUAAUAAUUUACUCUGCUAAUGUUUCCGAAGAUUUUUGCAUCCAUCAACGUGUUCCCCGUAUAAAAUCAUACAAUUGUUCUAAAAACAGUAGCAUCAAGGUGAUUUGACGGUUAUGUUUUUGAAAAAUAUUUUGGCAAAUAAAUUUGAAACAUUUUUGUCUUCACUGACUUUGAAUAACAGAUUAUUAUGGCACAUACGUGCAUAUUCGCCAUAUUUAGUAGGCAAAUAGAUGUGAUUCAAACCAGCGGUCCAUUGUUUUUCCUUUUUACAAUUGCUCUACUUCAUGGCUUCGUGAUACUCGCCGCUAAAGUAAUUCGCAUAUGCAUAAAUUUGUAUAGGGCUUUAACAGUUACCUCAAAUCUAAAAAAAUACUAUCGUUCCGGAUAUUGGGCUGUGAUUACUGGUGCAACCGAUGGAAUUGGUCUAGCGUUUGCCAAGCAACUGUAUCAUCGAGACUGGAACUUACUGCUGAUAGGCAGAAACCAAAGCAAACUCGAAUCCCUAAUCAAAAGCAAUUUUUCUGCUAAGCAGAACUUAGUAAAAACGUUUGUUCUAGACUUUUCCAAGGCUACUGAUGAUGAUUAUAACAGACUCAGCGAGGCGAUAAAAGAUAAAGAUAUUGGACUUUUGAUAAAUAAUGUUGGCACAAGUCAUGAAUACCCAUCUUUCUUUGCCGAAAUGCCAAAAAAUUUAUUAACAGAAAUGGUUUACACAAAUGCAAUUAGUGCUCUAAGGAUGACAUACAUUGUUCUGCCCCCAAAUGUUAUGCCAAAAGCGUGGGCUGGUUCUUAAUGUUAGUUCCGCAUCAAUGCUUCUCCCAACUUCUCCUUUACUUUCUAUAUAUGCAGCUACCAAAGCAUUUCUAACCAACUGGUCUCUAAGUCUACAUCAGGAAUACAAAAACAAAAAUAUAUUCUUCGAAGUGAUAACGCCUUUUUAUGUAUCUACAAAGAUGAGCAAAGUAAAAAGUACAAGUCUGUUUGUUCCGUCUCCAGACACAUACGCGAAAUCCGUUUUAGACAGAAUUGGUAAUUAUCGGCAACACUGUGGAUAUAUCUGGCACGAUUUACAGGGCUACUUAGUCAAAUGUGUUCCUGAGCAAUUGGUAAAUAGAUUCACCACCAAUUAUUUACUCAAAAUUCGCAAAAAGGCCUUGGCAAAUUUAGCCAAAAAUAAGUAGAGCCAUUAUCCUUGUGACGUGUUUAAUUAAAUAUAGUUUCAAACCUCUUUGACAUAUUGUCUCCGUUGCAUGUCAAGUAAGUCCGUAGUAUAGGCAUCAACUAAGGGCUUUGUGAGGAUACUACAUAUUUACACCUUCAUGUAGGAGAAUAAAUAUUCUUCAACGUAAAGGUUCCAGAGCAUGUAAAAACGUACUUUAGACUGUAAGCUCAGUUUUUUUAAA